RNAcentral lists this ribosomal RNA (449 nucleotides) under uncultured bacterium. RNAcentral describes it as "partial 16S ribosomal RNA". It matches the Rfam family "Bacterial small subunit ribosomal RNA", at positions 29 to 523 of the family's 1533-position model. The record is from RNAcentral.
AACGAACGCUGGCGGCAGGCCUAAAACAUGCAAGUCGAACGAUCUAGCAAUAGAUAGUGGCGCACGGGUGAGUAACACGUGGGAAUAUCCCUUUCACUACGGAACAACGUCGGGAAACUGACGCUAAUACCGUAUAAUGCCUCCGGACCAAAGAUUUAUCGGUGAAAGAUUAGCCCGCGUCUGAUUAGCUAGUUGGUGAGGUAACGGCUCACCAAGGCAACGAUCUGUAGCUGGUCUGAGAGGAUGAUCAGCCACACUGGAACUGAGACACGGUCCAGACUCCUACGGGAGGCAUCAGUUAGGAAUAUUGGACAAUGGGUGCAACCUUGAUCCAGCCUUGCCGCGUGUGUGACGAAGGCCUUAGGGUUGUAAAGCACUUUCGUCUACGAAGAUAAUGACAGUAGUAGAAGAAGAAGCUCCGGCUAAAUUCGUGCCAGCAGCCGCAGUAA